This 93-nucleotide transfer RNA is filed under the name compost metagenome. RNAcentral describes it as "tRNA-Pro". The record is from RNAcentral.
CGACUGCUUAGCAAGGGGUUGAUCGUGGGGCUGCUGGGCGCAGCCAGCUUGGCGGCGCAGGCCGACCAGGCCGGUGGCGGCGGCUGCGGUUGG